Molecule: long non-coding RNA, 1025 nt
Organism: Gossypium raimondii (Peruvian cotton)
Lineage: Eukaryota; Viridiplantae; Streptophyta; Magnoliopsida; Malvales; Malvaceae
Exons: 2
Source: RefSeq, a predicted model, not a curated record
UUGAAAGCAGCUUCUUUGCUUUCUUCUUUUUAGAUUCACUGGCUGGGUUAAACAUCAAAUACAUUUUCUUUUUAUUUGUUUCGGUUUUCAUUUUGCAAUUUUUAUUUUAUUUUAUUUUAUUUGUUUCUAUAUGUAUAUAUAGCGCCAUAAACAUUUUAAAAGUAUUUUAUAUAUUUAAAUUCUUGUACAUUACUAGAUUGUAUUAUCUAAAUUUCAAAAAUAUUUAUGUACUUAUAUCAUUUUUAUACGAGGAAAGGUCGAUAUGAUUAAUAUUUAAAAUAAUUUUACACAUUUUCAUAAUUAUUUAUAUGAUUAAUAUUUUAACAAUUCAACGGUUAUAUUUUAUAGCCUACUCAUGUAAAUCAUGAAUGUCAAAUAUAUUAUGUAUUUGUGUACUUUUGUUAUAUUUUAAUUAUUUAUUCUUUUAAACCUAAAAACUAAUCAUUGGAUAUUAAGCCAGGCAGUGAAUCAAAAGUGAAGAAAGAAACGAAUAAACUAUUGGCAGCGGCAUUUUGUUUUUAAUUUAAAAGAUUAAAAGUAAAUAUUGCAGUAUAAUUGAAGAUGAUAUUUCAUCAAGCAAGAAAACUUGAAGUGAUUUAGUGCGAUUAUUUUUUAUAUUUAAGAGAUACGCGAUCAAAGGUGUGUUUUUGUUUAUCUCAAGCAGACAUUGAAGGUGAUUGAUAUGAACCAGAACUCUUUAGAUUUUGUUCUUAUCAUACUAGCUUAAUUCAUCAAGAUUGAGACGCGAACACAUUUACGGAUUUCGGUGCAGAUCAGGGGUGAAGUUAGGAAAAAUUUUUGGGCAGAAUUACCUUGUAUAUUUUUAUUAUAGUAAAAAUACAAUUUCAUCAUUUUGAUAGCUUAUAUUUUUAUAAUUUUUAGAAUACUAAAAUAUUUUUUUAUCAUUUUUGGGAGGCCAAUGUGCAAUUUUAUCAUUACUAAUUUAAAAUUCUAUAAAUUAUAAAGGGCCUAAAUGAAAUUUUUCUAAUUUAGGGGGGUCGAGGCCAUGCUAGCUCCCCUAGAUA